This 253-nucleotide ribosomal RNA is filed under the name uncultured bacterium. RNAcentral's name for it is "partial 16S ribosomal RNA". It matches the Rfam family "Bacterial small subunit ribosomal RNA", at positions 524 to 776 of the family's 1533-position model. The record is from RNAcentral.
UACGAAGGGGGCUAGCGUUGCUCGGAAUGACUGGGCGUAAAGGGCGCGUAGGCGGAUGGCACAGUCAGAUGUGAAAUUCCUGGGCUUAACCUGGGGGCUGCAUUUGAUACGUGUGAUCUGGAGUGAGGAAGAGGGUUGUGGAAUUCCCAGUGUAGAGGUGAAGUUCGUAGAUAUUGGGAAGAACACCGGUGGCGAAGGCGGCGACCUGGUCCUUAACUGACGCUGAGGCGCGAAAGCGUGGGGAGCAAACAGG